AGGUUACGUCAAGACUCACGGUUAUUAACCGUAGGCUUUUCUUCUCUACUGAAAGUGCUUUACAACCCGCAGGCCUUCUUCACACAUGCGGCAUUGCUGGAUCAGGCUUGCGCCCAUUGUCCAAUAUUCCCCA
Molecule: ribosomal RNA, 133 nt
Filed under: uncultured bacterium
Lineage: Bacteria
Description: partial 16S ribosomal RNA
Source: RNAcentral